RNAcentral lists this ribosomal RNA (408 nucleotides) under uncultured bacterium. Its description in RNAcentral is "partial 16S ribosomal RNA". It matches the Rfam family "Bacterial small subunit ribosomal RNA", at positions 28 to 526 of the family's 1533-position model. The record is from RNAcentral.
GACGAACGCUGGCGGCGUGCUUAACACAUGCAAGUCGAACGGAGUGGCGAACGGGUGAGUAACACGUGGGUGAUCUGCCUUGCACUUCGGGAUAAGCUUGGGAAACUGGGUCUAAUACCGGAUUGUGCAAGAUGAGCUCGCGGCCUAUCAGCUUGUUGGUGGGGUAUUGGCCUACGAAGGCGUCGACGGGUAGCCGGCCUGGGCGGGUGUACGGCGACAUUGGGACUGAGAUACGGCCCAGACUCGUACGGGGGCCAGAAGUGGGGAAUAUUGCACAAUGGGCGGGAGCCUGAUGCAGCGACGCCGGGUGGGGGAGGAAGGCCUUCGGGUUGGAAACUCCUUUCGACAGGGACGCGGUACCUGUAUAAGAAGCACCGGCUAACUACGUGCCAGCAGCCGCGGUAAUUC